GAUGAACGCUGGCGGCGUGCCUAAUACAUGCAAGUCGAGCGAACAGACGAGAAGCUUGCUCCUCUGAUGUUAGCGGCGGACGGGUGAGUAACACGUGGAUAACCUACCUAUAAGACUGGGAUAACUUCGGGAAACCGGAGCUAAUACCGGAUAAUAUUUUGAACCGCAUGGUUCAAUAGUGAAAGACGGUCUUGCUGUCACUUAUAGAUGGAUCCGCGCCGCAUUAGCUAGUUGGUAAGGUAACGGCUUACCAAGGCAACGAUGCAUAGCCGACCUGAGAGGGUGAUCGGCCACACUGGAACUGAGACACGGUCCAGACUCCUACGGGAGGCAGCAGUAGGGAAUCUUCCGCAAUGGGCGAAAGCCUGACGGAGCAACGCCGCGUGAGUGAUGAAGGUCUUCGGAUCGUAAAACUCUGUUAUUAGGGAAGAACAAAUGUGUAAGUAACUAUGCACGUCUUGACGGUACCUAAUCAGAAAGCCACGGCUAACUACGUG
Molecule: ribosomal RNA, 497 nt
Filed under: uncultured bacterium
Lineage: Bacteria
Description: partial 16S ribosomal RNA
Rfam family: Bacterial small subunit ribosomal RNA
Source: RNAcentral